ACGUAGGGCGCAAGCGUUGUCCGGAAUUAUUGGGCGUAAAGAGCUCGUAGGCGGCUUGUCACGUCGGGUGUGAAAGCCCGGGGCUUAACCCCGGGUCUGCAUUCGAUACGGGCAGGCUAGAGUGUGGUAGGGGAGAUCGGAAUUCCUGGUGUAGCGGUGAAAUGCGCAGAUAUCAGGAGGAACACCGGUGGCGAAGGCGGUUCACUGGUCCGGUACUGACGCUGAGGUGCGAAAGCGUGGGGAGCAAACAGGA
Molecule: ribosomal RNA, 253 nt
Filed under: uncultured prokaryote
Description: partial 16S ribosomal RNA
Rfam family: Bacterial small subunit ribosomal RNA
Source: RNAcentral